This 450-nucleotide ribosomal RNA is filed under the name uncultured fungus. RNAcentral's name for it is "partial 18S ribosomal RNA". Lineage: Eukaryota; Fungi. The record is from RNAcentral.
GACAGUUUUGAAGUUGUUUUCUACUAAAAGAAAUCUUGUGUUGACUGAAUUAGUUUAAAAAAAUAUUUGUUUGUGUUUGCAUCCACUGGGAGAACUCCCUCCCGAAAGAGAGCGUUCCCCCAACGAACAAAAGAAUAGUAGUAAAGUAAACUCCACUGUGUGUAGUAAUUAGAAAGUGUCGAGUCGUGUGAUAAAACACCUCCUUUGGAAUAGAGAGAUCCACGCACACUCCCAGGUCUUUGUCGGCUCCCUCCCCCCACUGCAGAACACCCACCAACCGCGCACUUAAGCGCAGGCAGGAGAAAUAGCAUUCACAGCAGAGAAAAUAUUUUAGGAGCCUCCUGAGUGUCUACACUGGUCCUCCCCAGAGAUGUCUCUCUCCGAGCUCAGACAAAUCAAUUAAAUUUCUUUAAUGAUCCUUCCGCAGGUUCACCUACGGAAAUCGAAUUC